Molecule: non-coding RNA, 1651 nt
Organism: Eublepharis macularius
Lineage: Eukaryota; Metazoa; Chordata; Lepidosauria; Squamata; Eublepharidae
Source: the annotation of a RefSeq genome assembly
AUGGUGAUGGUUGAUGAUGACGAAGGACUCCUAAACAUUUCAUCAAUCCUUUCUACCUUCAUUGUCCUCUUCCUCGUGAGCAUCUUCUACAGUGCCAUUGUGACUGUCAUCAAGCUGACUAGCAGGCCUGCUCUCCCAGUGCCAGCCGGACCGAUGAACCAGUCCGUUCACGAACUGGCACUGGACUGUGAAAAGUUUGUUGUCUAUGAACCCCCACCAACAUCCACAGCCCCAUCUGUGUUCCCAUUAUCCCCAUGCUGCCAAGACCCCACCUCAAUUAAGACCGUGGGCUGCUUGAUAACGGGUUACUUCCCUGAACCAGCCACAGUGCAAUGGAAUUCAGGAGCUAUCACCUCCGGCAUUCAGAACUUCCCUGCAGUACGGCAAUCAUCCAGUGGCACCUACACCUUCACUAGCCAGCUCACCGUCCCAGCCUCCAGCUUGCAGUCCCAGACUUUCCAAUGCAAUGUUGAACACGCGGCUACCAGCACCAGAAUCAACAAACAGAUCGAAGCCUGCUCGCAAGAGACCCCGGACGUCCGCCUCCUCCAUUCCUCCUGCAACCGCAACUCAGACGAUGCCACUAUUCAGCUUGUGUGCCUUAUCUCGGGCUUCUACCCUAGCACGGUCACAGUGAAUUGGCUGGUAGAUGGGCAAUCCGGGGUGUUGCCUGCACACACUGAGGCCCCCAAGAAAGACGCCAGCGGGGACACCUUCAGCACCACCAGCACAGCCAAUAUUACCCAACUAGAAUGGAAAGAGGGGAAGACAUACACCUGCCAGGUGAUCCACCAAGGUUCCACAGUGGAAAGAAAUGCCACAAAAUGCAGAGGCUGUGGCAAUGCAGUCCAUGUGGAGACCAUCCCGCCAUCCUUCGCUGAUAUUUUCCUGACCAAGUCGGCCAAGUUGACCUGCAGAAUCUCCAAUAUACCCGAUGAGCAGGACCUUGAAGAACUGAACGUCACCUGGAUAAGAGCAUCUGACAACAAAGAACUGGAGACCGUCAUUGGGCAGCCUAAGCAGCAAGAAAACAGUGAGCUCUUAUUUGUGGAAGCAACAGCCACCGUUUGCAAAGAAGAGUGGGACAGCGGGGAUACCUUCAAGUGCAAAGUGACUCUUCCCCUUCUCCCCACAGCUGUCAUAAAAACACUGAAAAAGGUUCAUGGCGGCACUCCCAGAGCUCCCGCUGUCUACGUCCUCCCCCCUCCCCCGGAGCAACUGGCAUUGCAGGAAACAGCCACCCUCACUUGCCUGUUGAAAGGUUUCUACCCCGAUGAAUUCUUUGUGAAAUGGCUCCGGAAUGACGAGCCCGUGGGAGAUUCAGAGUUCUUCACCAGCCGUCCCAUACAGGAAUCCAAGACCCCUGAGCGGUACUUCACCUCCAGCACAAUUAAUGUCAUUGAGCAAGACUGGAACUCUGGAGACCAUUACACUUGCGUGGUGGGACACGAGGCGCUUCCCCUCCAGACGACUCAGAAGACCGUAGACAAGAACACGGGUAAACCCACCCUUGUCAACGUCUCCCUGGUACUCUCCGACACCACCACCACUUGCCACUAACCAUUGUUGCUAUUUUUCCUCCAUCCCCUGGUUUCGUCAUCUUUUUCUCCCUUCAUUACAUCUCGCCUGAUUAGCUGUUCAUUAGUGCAAA